UUCUUAAUGAGAGUUUGAUCCUAGCUCAGGGUGAACGCUGGCGACGUGGAUAAGGCAUGCAAGUCAAGGGGGCCUUCGGGCAACCGGCAGACGAGGUAGUAACACGUAAGUACGCACCCCAUGGUCGGGCAUAGCCAGCCGAAAGGUUGGGUAAUUCCCGAUAGUCUCGCGAGAGUAAAGUUUUUCGCCAUGGGAGCGGCUUGCGUAGUAUCAGCUAGUUGGUAGGGUAACGGCCUACCAAGGCUACGACGCUUAGGGGAGCUGAGAGGCUGACCCCCACCGAUGGGACUGAGAGACGGCCCAUACUCCUACGGGAGGCCGCAGUCGAGAAUCUUCCGCAAUGGGCGAAAGCCUGACGGAGCGACGUCGCGUGCUGGAUGAAGUUCUUCGGGACGUAAACAGCUUUUAUGUGGGACGAAGUUUAUUGACGGUACCACAUGAAUAAGGGGCUCCUAACUCUGUGCCAGCAGGAGCGGUAAUACAGAGGCCUCAAGCGUUACCCGGAAUCACUGGGCGUAAAGGGUGUCGAGGCGGUCAUAUUAGUCUUUCGUUAAAUCCGGGAGCUCAACUUCCGGCCUGCGGGAGAAACGGUAUGACUAGAGGGUAUGAGAGGUACAGGGAACUCAUGGUGUAGGGGUGAAAUCCGUUGAUAUCAUGGGGAACACCAAAGGCGAAGGCACUGUACUGGCAUAUUCCUGACGCUCACACACGAAAGCCAGGGGAGAGAAGAGGAUUAGAUACCCUCGUAUUCCUGGCCCUAAACGCUGCUCGCUCGCUUUACGGAGUAUCGACCCUCUGUGAGGCUAAGCUAACGCGGUAAGCGAGCCGCCUGGGUAGUACGAGCGCAAGCUUAAAACUCAAAGGAAUAGACGGGGACUCGCACAAGCGGUGGAUCAUGUGGCUUAAUUCGACGAUAAACGAAGAACCUUACCAAGGCUAGAAACCCAGCUGCAUCCUUCCCGAAAAGGAAGGAGCCUUCGAGGGUGCUGGGCAGGUGAUGCAUGGUCGUCGUCAGUUCGUGGUUUGAACUGUUCCCUUCAGUGGGAUAACGAACGCAACCCCCGUUGCCUGUUAUAUAUGUCAGGCGAGACUGCUCCCUCACGGGAGAGGAAGGUGGGGAUGACGCCAGAUCAGCAUGUCCCUUGAUGCCUUGGGCUGCACACGUGAUACAAUGGUUGGUACAGAAAGAUGCAAGACCGUAAGGUGGAGCAAAUCUCAAAAACCAACCUCAGUACGGAUUGAGGUCUGCAACCGACCUCAUGAAGCCGGAAUCGCUAGUAAUCGUGGGUCAGCUAUACCACGGUGAAUACGUUCUCGAGUCUUGUACUCACCGCCCGUCAACUCAAGGGAGCUGGGGGUACCCGAAAUCCUGCCUUGCGCAGGACUACGGUAAAUUCAGUGACAGGGAGUAAGUCGUAACAAGGCACGGCUAGCGGAAGCUGGUCGUGGAUCA
Molecule: ribosomal RNA, 1453 nt
Filed under: Parcubacteria group bacterium 21-54-25
Lineage: Bacteria
Description: bacterial SSU rRNA
Rfam family: Bacterial small subunit ribosomal RNA
Source: RNAcentral